AAUAAAAAAAUAAUAAAGAAAAAAAAUAAUUUUAU
Molecule: small RNA, 35 nt
Filed under: Plasmodium falciparum 3D7
Lineage: Eukaryota; Apicomplexa; Aconoidasida; Haemosporida; Plasmodiidae
Description: Pfa-npcR6754
Source: RNAcentral